This 484-nucleotide ribosomal RNA is filed under the name Actinobacillus suis. RNAcentral's name for it is "bacterial LSU rRNA". It matches the Rfam family "Bacterial large subunit ribosomal RNA", at positions 2455 to 2925 of the family's 2925-position model. Lineage: Bacteria; Pseudomonadati; Pseudomonadota; Gammaproteobacteria; Pasteurellales; Pasteurellaceae. The record is from RNAcentral.
GAUAAAAGGUACUCCGGGGAUAACAGGCUGAUACCGCCCAAGAGUUCAUAUCGACGGCGGUGUUUGGCACCUCGAUGUCGGCUCAUCACAUCCUGGGGCUGAAGUAGGUCCCAAGGGUAUGGCUGUUCGCCAUUUAAAGUGGUACGCGAGCUGGGUUUAGAACGUCGUGAGACAGUUCGGUCCCUAUCUGCCGUGGGCGUUGGAGAAUUGAGAGGGGCUGCUCCUAGUACGAGAGGACCGGAGUGGACGCAUCACUGGUGUUCCAGUUGUCUCGCCAGAGGCAUUGCUGGGUAGCUACAUGCGGAAGAGAUAAGUGCUGAAAGCAUCUAAGCACGAAACUUGCCUCAAGAUGAGUUCUCCCCGACUAUAAGUCGGUAAGGGUUGUUGGAGACUACGACGUAGAUAGGUCUGGUGUGUAAGUGGUGUGAGCCAUUGAGCUAACAGAUACUAAUUGCCCGAGAGGCUUAACUAUACAACGCUCAAG